AUUGAUGUUGGAAUUCUCAAGAAACUAGUGAAGUGGAGGAAUAAUCGAAGAGAUAAUGAGUUUUUGGUGGCUUUCUAUGGACAGUUGAACCGUAGAUGUUGAGCUUAGUUCAUUUUUAGCUAUAAUUUGAUUAAUGGUUGGAUAUGGUAGCUGCUAACUGGUCAAGUUUUGAAUGGUGGGAGAAUGUCAAAAAAAAAAGUCUUAUUAGAUGCUGCAAGAUAAAAAAAGGGGAGUUUUUGAUGGCUGAAGAAUAGAGAAUUAUAUAUUUGUAGUUGGAGCAUGGGUGGUGAUCUAUGGUAGCUCUUAACCCUAUUUGAAGAAUGCAAAUUGAAAUGGUACUGCAGUUAAUUUGUCCUUAAUUAAAGGAUCAUCAUAUUAUUUGCUUCAAUUUUUUCAUAUUACAAUUACAAGGUACAACACAGUACUGCUUCUUGUGGUGAUAAGCAAGCUUAGUUGUGACUUGUGAGGUCUAGUGAAGGUUUCUUCUGUGGGGUGUGAACAUAUGAAAGAGAGAUACGUUUAUUCUAUUAUUUUCUUAUGUUCUAAUGUGGCAUUGUAAUGUUCUGAUUUUCUUAAACUAUUGUUGAAGAUUUCAUUUUGUUUUCCCUUGUUUUUGGCAGCCGCCCAACAGCAUUGCAAG
This 640-nucleotide unclassified non-coding RNA is filed under the name Hevea brasiliensis (rubber tree). Lineage: Eukaryota; Viridiplantae; Streptophyta; Magnoliopsida; Malpighiales; Euphorbiaceae. The record is from RNAcentral.